CAUUCAAAUUUAAAGCAUGUAGAUCAUUGGGAUAUGCCUUCUCUUCUGUUUUGUGUCUAUUCAGGCAAUUCCAGCUUCAAGUUAUAUUAUAAAUUCAAACUAUUGGAGUGAAGAAAAAGAAGAAAACUAAACAAUAUUGUGACCUAACAGAUCUUUUAGUUUUAAUUUCAGGCAUAAGUAUAAGAAAAACAAAUUUAUCUGAUUACAUUUUAGAAAUUCUAAUGUUCUUCUUGAUAUCCUUUCCAUAAAAGUAUUCCUAAUUUCAGUUGUAUGUACAGUUUACUUUAGGUUGACUGGACUCGUGGGUUGGCUGAACCUGAAGAAAGUAUUGUAGAACUAGAAACUCCUGCUGCUGAUCCUGAAGAUACUAUUGUAGAACUAUCAAUUCCUGCUGCUGAUCCUAAAGAUCAAACUGUUGGCUUUAGAUUGAUUUUGGGUGCUUAAAAAACUGCUGAAUACGAAGAUAAUGCUGAGAAUGAUGAAAAUGAUAAGGAUUAUGCUCAAGGUUAUUAAGGAUGGUUAUCCAAUUUAAAAACAAGAAACUUUAAUUAUAUGAAAAAUGUUUAACCAAAAAUAAAUUUUAAUCAACCUUUGUA
Eurytemora carolleeae is the source of this 596-nucleotide long non-coding RNA. RefSeq lists it as uncharacterized. The transcript has 2 exons. The record is from RefSeq and is a predicted model, not a curated record. Lineage: Eukaryota; Metazoa; Arthropoda; Copepoda; Calanoida; Temoridae.